Molecule: transfer RNA, 70 nt
Filed under: Oxylipeurus chiniri
Lineage: Eukaryota; Metazoa; Arthropoda; Insecta; Psocodea; Philopteridae
Description: tRNA-Pro
Source: RNAcentral
CGGGAAUUAGUUUAAUUUUUUUUAAAAACUCUAGUUUUGGGUAUUAGUAAUCUGCUGUGCAGAUUCUCGA